Molecule: long non-coding RNA, 1425 nt
Organism: Carassius auratus (goldfish)
Lineage: Eukaryota; Metazoa; Chordata; Actinopteri; Cypriniformes; Cyprinidae
Exons: 4
Source: RefSeq, a predicted model, not a curated record
GAAACCAUAAAACAGUAGGCGAGUAAUCCCCGGAUGUCCUACUGCUUCAGCGAAGAUUCUGAAGGGUUCAUCGAGGGAUACUUUUCAAUCCCAGAAUGCCACGCGAAAGGGAUGAAUCGUCAUCUAACGUGAAGGAGAGCAGCGUAGAGGGUGUUUACAAAGGGACAGAUGAGACACAUGUGUUUAUCUGCUGCAGAGAGACUGAUGAAGAAAUGCUGCCAUCAAAGAUUCUCAAUAUUUUGUGGUGGAGCAGGUGACCGCAGCAUCUGUGGAAAAAACCUUAAAGAAAAAUCCAAAGAUCUGAAAUGUCUGCAGACUGCCGUGUGCACUGAAGAUGGAGUGUCAUGGGUGAAAUGCUCCAUCACUGCAUCUCCACUUGUUUUCUCAUCAGGACCAGAUGAUGAUGUGGUCUCUUCAUCUUCAGUGACCCCAGAGCCAGCGAGAACAUCUAGAGAAACACCAAAAGACACUGAGGAUGUGAUUUAGGUCAAGUUUGUUCUGUGGUUUCUGUUCAUACAACAUCAGUCAAUAAAGCCUGAGGUUCAGAAGUUUCUAAAGUAUCAUCAAAUAAUGUCAUGAAGAAUCUGAAAGUCAGGCUCCAUUGACUGAUACUGUAUGAACACAAACCAGCAGGAGAAACCGGACCAACAUCACCUUUUAUGUUCAGGCAAAGUAUUGAUCAGAAUGGAGGCAAGUCAUUAAUGACUGAAUUUAUAUGUUUAGAUGACCUGACCCUUUAAAACCCCAAAUAGAAACUGUAUUAAAUGUAUGCAUGCAUUAAUAUUAUAGUAGAACAUUGAAGAAAAGAAGCUUUAAGAAAUAAGCAGCUUUAUUAAGCAUUUUUCUGCCCAAGACACACAAAAAAAGCAUUCACAAAAUUCACAUUUACAUGUAUUAAUUUACCAGAGACUUUUAUCUGAAGUGACUUACAGUGCUGUUAUUACAGGAUCUCAAUCCCUCUGGAGUCACCUGGAGUAAAGACACACCGGUGGAGAUUGAACCAGAAACUGCUCACCAGUUCAGUUCACUAAAUCACAGAAAUAAUGAAGCUUUAUCAAAUUAACAUGCAAUUGUAAAAAUAUCAAAUUUAAUUCAGCAAUAAAUAGAAUGCUGACAACAUGACAAAGUGUUUUACUCUGUGUAAGUGUUUUCCAGGUCGUGGAGCUCAUGGAGAGCAGACACAGCAGCAGUCAGAUCGUCCCGCACAUGUUCUCCUGCUCGUGUUCAGGGUUGUGUGGUUCAGGGUCUUCAUCAUGGUCUUCCUCAUCCUCUCAGUGCACUCAGACAAGGACUCGAUGUCCCUCUCUCAUCAUGAUCAGAUUCAGUCUGACUGCAGCAGUGAGGGAUGUGAUGGACGGAUGUGGAUUCACCGUCUGUAAACAUUCAAAUACAGAACUAUUUCUGAAUAAAGUUUUGUUUCAUGUG